UUGAAGUCAGUCGUACCUUCGGGUAAUCAGCCUUUCGGGUGCGAUUCUGUGGGGUGUGAGGAGUUAAACGCCUUCACGUUUUGCAUAUUCGUGCUCUUGGGUGUACUUGCCCGUGUGGUUGGUUAACAUCAAUUUUGGACGCCAUAAAAUGGCUGGAGGAAUGUAGCUUCGAUCUCGUAUUGAAGUGUUAUAGCCUUCGGUAGAUGUGGUUUUCGAGAUUGAGGAUUGCAACGGAUACCCUUCGGGGCUACCUAUCUGAUCUCUGAUCGUUGCUCUGGUGCCGAAAGCUUGCUUACGGUUAUCAAAGUCGAUGGUCAAUAUGUUAGAAUGGGUUAAAUUCGUUAAGGAUGUUGACGUA
This 358-nucleotide ribosomal RNA is filed under the name uncultured Glomeromycotina. RNAcentral's name for it is "LSU rRNA". The record is from RNAcentral. Lineage: Eukaryota; Fungi; Glomeromycota.